UGUGCCUGGAUGUGGAUUACCCACCUUCAUCACCAUUAUGGGUCUGCCUCAUCAAUGGUGGUUUGUGUUUGUUUCUGGUUACCAUCACCAGACCUGCUUCAACAUGAUAAAUGUCCUUGACACUGUUCCUGCCCAUGCAGUCAGGCUUCAGAAGUAGGUCAGGAGCAUCUACCUUCACUUCAGGAUAUGACUGAACCUCUGGAAAAGAGCAGCUACAGCCUGAGAAAAGGAGCCAAAGAGAAGCACAUGCAUAUUUUAGACACCAGGGACUGAGGCAUUGCAUCCUCAGUUCUACUUCUGCUGUCUCAGGGAAAAAUACAGUCAUUUUGGCAGAUCUAUCUCAAAAAGAAACUAGGAGAAAAACUGGAGGCUGGGUGAAAAAUGAAGUGAGUCAAAAAUUUCAACAACAUUGUGAUUUUUUUCAAAUUACAAUUAUUGUAAUUUUUAAUUUUGUUUAAUCACUGCAGUUGGGUCUUGGAGACCUGGGUAAUGUGCCUGACUUGCUUCCUAGUGCUGCAGCCUUGGGGAAGUAAUUUGAAAAUGUGAUGUCACUGUUGAACAGCCUGCAAAACUGAGAUGGUAAUGCUGAUCUCCCUGAUGAAACUUCUCAAGAUGGGAGGAAAAAUACUAUGAAUGUUCAGCACAAGUAGCUUUACUUAUUAAACAACAAUGUGUCCUGAAAAUGCUUUUAGAGCAAAACAUAAUUGAAAAGUGAGGGAGCAUUUUUGAUAUUAACAAUAUUUCCAUAAAUUUUUUCAACUUAUAGCCUUUUAAAAUCAGCUUUUGUUAGAGCAGACAAAACUGACAAAUAAUCUUAAAAUUCUGGUAACCAGCAUCUUUACCAGAAUUCCAAUUCCUGAGAUGAUAGAUACUGUUUAAGACAAACUGAGGACACAGAAGCUGCAAUUUUUAUACGAAAAUGAAGGGGCUGCCUGAAGCUCUGCACAAUUUCUACUGCUUCAUAUAAAAGACUGUGAAAGUGGCUCUGUCGCAUUGCCACCUGGUGGCACCGGAGGGAAAGUGUCAACACGGAGCUUCUCGGAAUUAACCUGCCUGCUGCUACCUCUGAGACUGCGAAGCAGGUCACGUCUAGCUGGGCAGGGUGUAAAAUAGUUGGACUUUAUGUUGUAUAUUAAACAGGUAGAUGAGAGAGGAAGAACUCCAAAUAUUUCUUGCAAGAAUGUAUAGGGAAAGGCCGACUUUUAAAUUUGUGUUUGUCUUAA
Molecule: long non-coding RNA, 1223 nt
Organism: Nothoprocta perdicaria
Lineage: Eukaryota; Metazoa; Chordata; Aves; Tinamiformes; Tinamidae
Exons: 3
Source: RefSeq, a predicted model, not a curated record